This 494-nucleotide ribosomal RNA is filed under the name uncultured Streptococcus sp. Its description in RNAcentral is "partial 16S ribosomal RNA". The record is from RNAcentral. Lineage: Bacteria; Bacillati; Bacillota; Bacilli; Lactobacillales; Streptococcaceae.
CACGUAGUUAGCCGUCCCUUUCUGGUAAGAUACCGUCACAGUGUGAACUUUCCACCCUCACACUCGUUCUUCUCUUACAACAGAGCUUUACGAUCCGAAAACCUUCUUCACUCACGCGGCGUUGCUCGGUCAGACUUCCGUCCAUUGCCGAAGAUUCCCUACUGCUGCCUCCCGUAGGAGUCUGGGCCGUGUCUCAGUCCCAGUGUGGCCGAUCACCCUCUCAGGUCGGCUAUGUAUCGUCGCCUUGGUGAGCCGUUACCCCACCAACUAGCUAAUACAACGCAGGUCCAUCUGGUAGUGAUGCAAUUGCACCUUUUAAGCAAAUGUCAUGCAACAUCUACUGUUAUGCGGUAUUAGCUAUCGUUUCCAAUAGUUAUCCCCCGCUACCAGGCAGGUUACCUACGCGUUACUCACCCGUUCGCAACUCAUCCGGAGAAGCAAGCUCCUCCUUCAGCGUUCUACUUGCAUGUAUUAGGCACGCCGCCAGCGUUCGU